GGGGGCAGUGUGCUUCUGCUUGUGUACCAGUUCAUGCAUGCACACAGGAAAUGCUGCUUUGUUUGCCAAAGAGUUUCUGAAAACUGAUUUUAUGAUUAAAAAUGAUUAUCUACAUGCACCGAUGGAUGAUUAACAUGAUUUGUAUGCCGGGGCGGAAAAAAAAGACAACGUCGGAUUGGAGGCGGAAAAACAGCCGGCAUCGCCAUUCCUGUUUCCCUCUGCUGAAACACGGGCGACGAGUAGGCGGGCAGGGGGAGGGAGUGAUGGGAGACAAGAAGAGCGAAAGGGAAGGGAGACCUGCUUGGUAUUCACCUGUCUCUCCGGAUCAAUAAAGUGGCUGCAGCAGGUCUCAUCACUCGGUUACAGGCACGGAGGAUGCCGUCCGUCACGCGGGGUCACCGGUCUGAGAGGAAUGCUCCGUGUUCGCGGAUGUCAGGGGUGGGAGAGAGCGUCCCGUGGGAGACUAAAGCCACAAUGACCCGACCCCACCUCCCGCCAAUCACUGCGGCACGUCCCGCCCCCCGUGUGGUUUGGUUUCCAGCAGCACAGGUGUGCAUCGCCUCCAGACUUACUUUCUCUCUCACUUACUUCCUGGUAUUGGAAGGUGUCAUUUUGACAACAGACAGUGAAAAAUGUUUAUUUUGAAGUGAGUGAGGUUGUUUGUUUUUGAGAUUAAUAAAAAUGUAUUUUGGUGAUUUAGUAAUUUAGUUCAGGUAUUAGAAAAGGAAAAAAACGUGUGUGAUGUUAUUGACCUCUACAGUGCAUUUUUAUUUUUCCCUUUUGAAUCAAUUUUCAAGCAGUAACAAAGUAAAAAUACACAAUUUCAGUGUCGUUGUGAAUACCUCUUAAAUAUUCCAAAUCCUUAACGUGUUUCUGUAAUUAUGUGACUUCUUAAAAUGAAUUUCAGGAAUUGUGAAACUCAACAUGCUACGUGGAAGAUUAAACUUCAACAUAACUCCGCCAUGAAAAUCCAGCUAAUGCAUCAAGUGUCAUGCAGAAAUGUGAUUAAUAGUCUACUUUUGAUUCCCACAUCCAACUAUCAAACUUCAAUUAUCUUUCAACAUCAUCAAUUGUUUCUCGACGGAGCACAUAUUGAUAGUCCAACAUGUGCGGAACAGUUUGAGGCCCGACUAAGCUGACAAGUCAUUUCCAUUCUAGUACCCUGACCUAAUCACCAUAUCUUAUUAUCAUCACACGAAAACACUAAUUACAAAGGCAGGGUGAACCUGAUUUAUGCUAAUGAGAACGUGAAUAUGCUACGGAUGCAUUAAUCUAGAGUAUAGGACCCUGCGCUGGUGUUAACUGUGAUUAGCAUGUGAUUACCAUAGCACGGGUUCUAUCUACGGGAAGCCCUGCUUCUGAUGGCUUUGUGAAUAUCUCGCUACUCGCUGGCAGAGAAUGAGACUGUGACUCUCCACGGCACGGGGAAAUAAUGGUAGUAAUACAAAAUGAACAAUUUUGAUUGUUUUCCUCUAAACAAAAAAUAUCUGAUUAGAAACAUAUCAAUUUGAGCAUGAGUUUAGCAGCUAAAACGUUAUAUAUUAUAGCUUUUUGUUGUAUGUGGGAGGAGAAGGAUAUAAGGAAUUAUAUGGGUUGGUCCACCCAACACAGCUGAAAAAUGAUGGAAAGUGAUGCAUUUCAGCGAAUUACCGUGGAUAAUGCAUUGAAGACCGUAUCUGAAAUUGUCAUAGAGACGGUGUCGUUGGUUCAAUAAAUAUCUCAAAACGUCAUCAAGUAAAAGCAAAUGUUCCUGAAUUGGUUUUUAUGGUUUUAGGAGACUGACGGGAUUUUUUCAAUCUUUUUAUUUUAUUUAGGAAAUCGAAGAGGGAAAAGACAAAAAGCAACAAUUUCAAGUGCCUCUUCUACUACUUACUUUAUUUACAUUCUCCUACACAACUCGCUUUAAAUGUACACAUGACACUUUGAUUGCACAUGUAUGGUAACAUUACCCUUCAUUUUUUGUUUGUUUAUUUAUUCUAUUGUAAAAAGGAUACAUUUUUGCUUUUCAAUUAUGUUUUUUAUUAUCGUACUGGGUUUGGCUUUUU
Molecule: long non-coding RNA, 2045 nt
Organism: Gasterosteus aculeatus aculeatus (three-spined stickleback)
Lineage: Eukaryota; Metazoa; Chordata; Actinopteri; Perciformes; Gasterosteidae
Source: Ensembl